Molecule: ribosomal RNA, 400 nt
Filed under: Hypsilurus godeffroyi
Lineage: Eukaryota; Metazoa; Chordata; Lepidosauria; Squamata; Agamidae
Description: 16S rRNA
Rfam family: Bacterial large subunit ribosomal RNA
Source: RNAcentral
UGUCCUUUAAAUAAGGACCCGUAUGAAUGGCCUCAUGAGAAAGAAACUGUCUCUUUAGGCCAGUCGAUGAAACUGAUCUUCUUGUACAAAAGCCAGAAUAAUAAAACAAGACAAAAAGACCCUGUGAAACUUAAAAUAGUUUAUCAACCAAUGAUAAAAAUUUUUAGUUGGGGCAACUAUAGAGAAACAAAACCUCGCACACAGCCAAGAUCAACAGAUCUAAGCAUCCAAUUACACCGACCCAGCACCGCUGAUCAAAGAACCAAGCUACUCCAGGGAUAACAGCGCUACAUUCUUAAAGAGUCCAUAUCAACAAGAAUACCUACGACCUCGAUGUUGGACCAGGAUAACCUGAUGGUGCAGAAGCUAUCAAGGGUUCGUUUGUUCAACGAUUAAUAAU